AUACCAUAAUGAGAACAUCUCCUGAGUAACUCCUUAAAUCUUUCCCAUGCAUCAUACAAACUCUCAUCUUCAAAUUGAUAGAAAGAUGUGAUCUCAUUCCUCAAUUU
Citrus sinensis (sweet orange) is the source of this 107-nucleotide non-coding RNA. Lineage: Eukaryota; Viridiplantae; Streptophyta; Magnoliopsida; Sapindales; Rutaceae. The record is from Rfam.